This is a long non-coding RNA of Micropterus dolomieu (smallmouth bass), 850 nucleotides long. RefSeq lists it as uncharacterized. The transcript has 3 exons. The record is from RefSeq and is a predicted model, not a curated record. Lineage: Eukaryota; Metazoa; Chordata; Actinopteri; Centrarchiformes; Centrarchidae.
UAUUAUAUUAUUAUUAUUAUUAUUACCCUCUCCAUUUGUAUAGUCCCGCAUAGAGCUGCUAACAUCAAAUUAUUAUUGUAGCUGUCAUCAGCUGGUUAUACAAUUAAUUUCAUAAUAGCAAUUUAAUAUAAGAAUCAUUUCUGUUAAGAACAAAGAGACAUGUAACUUAUUUUAUUGCGGAACUAAUAUUCUUGUGUUGCAGUGGGGUCUGGUCAAUAUCAGUGGCACUUUGUUAGCAUUAGAGGGAGAACACUUGACUGAUCGGACGGAGGACGAUGUCUGGAGAUCCGAUGCUGUUUAGAGAUGUUAUGAAGAUUUAUUAAGUAAAGAAAAUCAAGCCGGACGGUUCCUUUUACUCCAUCUGCAAGUUUAAAAGCUUCCAGCCUGCAAAGGGAUGGUUUUGGAUUGAUGAUGAAACAUUUACCCUCAUCAAGCUGAGUGCUGAAAAUACUCACCUGUUUAAUAUCACCUCCACAAGUGGUGGGACUGCCUGAAAUGAAAAUAUAAGUUGAAAUGACCCGCAUCUGGGACAGGGAGUGACAAGGGAGAGGCCAUCAGUGGGCGGCCAUCUAUUGAUCCUCCCAUUGUUACGGGUUCAACCUCAUCAAGCGUGGUUGCUGUGGCGUUUGCUGAACAUUACAAGGUUCUGAAGAGCUUGGAAAGAAGGAGUGUUUUUGGUUCUGCUAAUUGUUUGUUUUAUUCCUUUAAAAAAAAUCUUGAUGAUUUACGUUGGUUUAUGCUUUGUACCUUUUAAGCAAUUCAAGCAUGCAGUUCUUUUGGGGAAUUCAAGUCCAGACAUAAAAAACAAACAUGUUCGACACUUAAGAGGUAACAAGGAGCUGUGACAUGA